UACGAAGGGGGCUAGCGUUGCUCGGAAUCACUGGGCGUAAAGGGUGCGUAGGCGGGUCUUUAAGUCAGGGGUGAAAUCCUGGAGCUCGACUCCAGAACUGCCUUUGAUACUGAAGAUCUUGAGUUCGGGAGAGGUGAGUGGAACUGCGAGUGUAGAGGUGAAAUUCGUAGAUAUUCGCAAGAACACCAGUGGCGAAGGCGGCUCACUGGACCGUUGUUGACGCUGAGGUGCGAAAGCGUGGGGAGCAAACAGG
This 253-nucleotide ribosomal RNA is filed under the name uncultured bacterium. Its description in RNAcentral is "partial 16S ribosomal RNA". It matches the Rfam family "Bacterial small subunit ribosomal RNA", at positions 524 to 776 of the family's 1533-position model. The record is from RNAcentral.